UGAUGACGAGACGCUAAGGCGUUGAAGCAGUGUAUGUCAGACUUCCAAGAAAAGCUCGCAAUGUCACAAAUAAAAGAUGCCUGUACCAUAACCGACACAGGUGGGUAGGUAGAGUAUACUAAGGGGCGCGAGAUAACUCUCUCUAAGGAACUCGGCAAAAUGACUCCGUAACUUCGGGAGAAGGAGUGCCUUAUUUAUAAGGUUGCAAUAACAAGAUCCAAGCAACUGUUUAUCAAAAACACAGGUCUCCGCUAAGUCGUAAGACGAUGUAUGGGGGCUGACGCCUGCCCAGUGCCAGAAGGUUAAAGAAGUUGGUUAGUGUAUGCGAAGCUGAUGACUGAAGCCCUGGUGAACGGCGGCCGUAACGAUAACGGUCCUAAGGUAGCGAAAUUCCUUGUCGGGUAAGUUCCGACCCGCACGAAAGGCGUAAUGAUUUGGAUACUGUCUCGGAGAGAGGCUCGGUGAAAUAGACUUGUCUGUGAAGAUGCGGACUACCUGCACCAGGACAGAAAGACCCUAUGAAGCUUUACUGUAACUUGAAAUUGGAAUUGGACUUUGCUUGCGCAGUAUAGGUGGGAAGCGUUGAAAAUAUUCUUGCGGGAGUAUUGGAGCUAUCAGUGAGAUACCACUCUUGUAAUGUUAGAUUUCUAACUUUGAACCAUAAUCUGGUCAAAGAACAGUUUCAGGUGGGCAGUUUGACUGGGGCGGUCGCCUCCCAAAUGGUAACGGAGGCGUACAAAGGUUUCCUCUGAACGGAUAGAAAUCGUAUCUAGAGUGUAAAGGCAUAAGGAAGCUUGACUGUGAGACCUACAAGUCGAGCAGGGACGAAAGUCGGUCUUAGUGAUCUGACGGUACUGAGUGGAAAGGCCGUCACUCAACGGAUAAAAGUUACUCUAAGGAUAACAGGCUGAUCUCCCCCAAGAGUUCACAUCGACGGGGAGGUUUGGCACCUCGAUGUCGGCUCAUCGCAUCCUGGGGCGGUAGUACGUCCCAAGGGUUGGGCUGUUCGCCCAUGAAAGCGGUACGCGAGCUGGGUUCAGAACGUCGUGAGACAGUUCGGUCCAUAUCCGGUGUAGGCGCUAGAAUAUUGAGAGGAGCCUUCUUUAGUACGAGAGGACCGAGAAGGACACACCGCUGGUGUACCAGUUAUCGUGCCAACGGUAAACGCUGGGUAGCUAUGUGUGGAGUGGAUAACCGCUGAAAGCAUCUAAGUGGGAAGCCCACCUCGAGAUGAGUAUUCCC
This 1242-nucleotide ribosomal RNA is filed under the name metagenome. RNAcentral's name for it is "bacterial LSU rRNA". It matches the Rfam family "Bacterial large subunit ribosomal RNA", at positions 1564 to 2815 of the family's 2925-position model. The record is from RNAcentral.